UACGUAGGGGGCAAGCGUUGUCCGGAAUCAUUGGGCGUAAAGCGCGUGUAGGCGGCCUUGUAAGUCCGUUGUGAAAGCCCCGGGCUCAACCUGGGAAUGGCAGUGGAAACUAGGGGACUGGAAUCUGGCAGAGGGGGGUGGAAUGUCGCGUGUAGCAGUGAAAUGCGUAGAGAUGCGGCGGAACACCGAUGGCGAAGGCAGCCCCCUGGGCUGAGAUUGACGCUCAGGCACGAAAGCGUGGGGAGCAAACAGG
This 253-nucleotide ribosomal RNA is filed under the name uncultured bacterium. RNAcentral's name for it is "partial 16S ribosomal RNA". It matches the Rfam family "Bacterial small subunit ribosomal RNA", at positions 524 to 776 of the family's 1533-position model. The record is from RNAcentral.